GUCCUCGUAGCUCAGCUGGAUAGAGCGACUCCCUCCUAAGGAGUAGGUCGGAAGUUCGAAUCUUCUCGGGGACGCCA
This 77-nucleotide transfer RNA is filed under the name Bacillota bacterium. RNAcentral's name for it is "tRNA-Arg". It matches the Rfam family "tRNA". From Rfam's summary of the family: Transfer RNA (tRNA) molecules are approximately 80 nucleotides in length. Their secondary structure includes four short double-helical elements and three loops (D, anti-codon, and T loops). The record is from RNAcentral. Lineage: Bacteria; Bacillati; Bacillota.